This 390-nucleotide non-coding RNA is filed under the name Symbiodinium sp. clade D. The record is from RNAcentral. Lineage: Eukaryota; Dinophyceae; Suessiales; Symbiodiniaceae.
AUGCAAUGAAAUGAAGCGUGAAAUGAGCAAAAGAUAAAGACAAAGAAGAAAAAGAACCAGAACUUAGAUGUCAAGUGAUGAAGAGAGAAAAGACCAAAGGAAAAUGAACAAAGCGUGCGUCCUUUUUCCCUUACCUUUCUUCAUUUCUCCUUUGUCUUUUGCUCUUCAUCAUGUGUUCUUUGUUCCUCUUCUUGUUUGGUUUAAUUCAGUUACAAUGGAAUGAAAUGUAAGCGUGAACUGAAUUAAACGAAACAAAGAAGGGAACAACAACACACACCUCAGAAACGAGUGAUGAAUUGUGUGCUUUGGUUCUUUUUGUUUCUUUCGCUUCAUUCUCGCUUCCACUCAUUCUUCCUUCCAUUGAAAUGAAGCGAAAGAGAACAAAAGACC